AGAGUUUGAUCAUGGCUCAGGAUGAACGCUAGCGGCAGGCCUAAUACAUGCAAGUCAAGGGGCUCGCAAGAGCACCGGCGGACGGGUGCGUAACGCGUACACAACGUACCUCAGAGCGGGGGAUAGCAUUGGGAAACUGGUGGUAAAACCCCAUGGUGUUGCUGAAUGGCAUCAUUUAGCAACUAAAGUUUACACUUUGAGAUCGGUGUGCGUCUGAUUAGCUAGUUGGCGGGGUAACGGCCCACCAAGGCGACGAUCAGUAGGGGGUGUGAGAGCAUGACCCCCCACAUGGGUACUGAGACACGGACCCAACUCCUACGGGAGGCAGCAGUAAGGAAUAUUGGACAAUGGGCGCAAGCCUGAUCCAGCCAUGCCGCGUGAAGGAUGAAGGCGCUCAGCGUUGUAAACUUCUUUUGGAUGGGGACAAUAAUCUCGAUUUAUCGGGACUUGAGGGUACCAUCAGAAUAAGCACCGGCUAACUCCGUG
This 486-nucleotide ribosomal RNA is filed under the name uncultured bacterium. RNAcentral describes it as "bacterial SSU rRNA". It matches the Rfam family "Bacterial small subunit ribosomal RNA", at positions 8 to 507 of the family's 1533-position model. The record is from RNAcentral.